RNAcentral lists this long non-coding RNA (517 nucleotides) under Citrus sinensis (sweet orange). RNAcentral describes it as "long non-coding RNA (CSIN_LNC005815)". The record is from RNAcentral. Lineage: Eukaryota; Viridiplantae; Streptophyta; Magnoliopsida; Sapindales; Rutaceae.
GAUAUAAUAAUCUUCUACUUCAAAUUUCAAGAAUCGUACAUUUUUGUUGAACAAAUUUUAUUCCGAUUUCCAUGAACUUGGGGACAAUAAGAAAAUCAGGAAUGUACCUCAUACAAUAGGUUUCAGCUGCCUAUUGAUGAGGCACGAAAGAAUUUGUUGCAGCUGCAUAUUUUAACUCAAGCUGCAAGUAAUAUAAAAUCCAAUUGCAAAUCAAUCACAUAUACCAAUUUCACAGGCAGUGGACUAUAUCUACUUUCGUUUCAUUUCCUCCAUAUUCACUAAUUGUGCAGUCCACUGUCAAGAAACAAAUUUCCAUAGCCACUGGUAUAGCAAUCAAUAAUUGGUGUCAGAUCCAAUCCCAAUUUCUCAAAGCAUGUUUCCCCUUGAGGAUACUUAUGCUUGUACGCUAAACUCUCAACGCAGUAGAUAAACUAGAAAUGCCCAUUCUGCACCACAAACUUCACUUUAUUAACAAAAUUUUCGACCAAAAGGCAAAAUCUGAAAAUGAAAAAAAUCC